CGGGGUAUAGCUCAGGGAGAGCGCUUGCAUGGCAUGCAAGAGGUCAGCGGUUCGAUCCCGCUUACCUCCACCA
Molecule: transfer RNA, 73 nt
Filed under: Bordetella bronchiseptica
Lineage: Bacteria; Pseudomonadati; Pseudomonadota; Betaproteobacteria; Burkholderiales; Alcaligenaceae
Description: tRNA-Ala
Rfam family: tRNA
About the family: Transfer RNA (tRNA) molecules are approximately 80 nucleotides in length. Their secondary structure includes four short double-helical elements and three loops (D, anti-codon, and T loops).
Source: RNAcentral